Molecule: ribosomal RNA, 301 nt
Filed under: uncultured bacterium
Lineage: Bacteria
Description: partial 16S ribosomal RNA
Rfam family: Bacterial small subunit ribosomal RNA
Source: RNAcentral
CAGUAGCCACGGUAAUACGUAGGGUGCAAGCGUUAAUCGGAAUUACUGGGCGUAAAGCGUGCGCAGGCGGUUAUAUAAGACAGAUGUGAAAUCCCCGGGCUCAACCUGGGAACUGCAUUUGUGACUGUAUAGCUAGAGUACGGCAGAGGGUGAUGGAAUUCCGCGUGUAGCAGUGAAAUGCGUAGAUAUGCGGAGGAACACCGAUGGCGAAGGCAAUCACCUGGGACUGUACUGACGCUCAUGCACGAAAGCGUGGGGAGCGAACAGGAUUAGAUACCCGUGUAGUCCCUGUCUCUUAUAA